This 698-nucleotide ribosomal RNA is filed under the name uncultured bacterium. RNAcentral describes it as "bacterial SSU rRNA". It matches the Rfam family "Bacterial small subunit ribosomal RNA", at positions 109 to 805 of the family's 1533-position model. The record is from RNAcentral.
AGUAACACGUAUGCAACCUGCCCCUGUCAGGGGGACAACCCGCCGAAAGGCGGGCUAAACCCGCGUACAUGCCACCGGGGCAUCCCGGAGGCAGGAAAGGCUUCGGCCGGACAGGGAUGGGCAUGCGGCGCAUUAGGCAGUAGGCGGGGUAACGGCCCACCUAACCGACGAUGCGUAGGGGUUCUGAGAGGAAGGUCCCCCACACUGGUACUGAGACACGGACCAGACUCCUACGGGAGGCAGCAGUGAGGAAUAUUGGUCAAUGGUCGGGAGACUGAACCAGCCAAGCCGCGUGAGGGAUGAAGGUACAGAGUAUCGUAAACCUCUUUUGUCAGGGAACAAAGGCGGGGACGUGUCCCCGGAUGAGUGUACCUGAAGAAAAAGCAUCGGCUAACUCCGUGCCAGCAGCCGCGGUAAUACGGAGGAUGCGAGCGUUAUCCGGAUUUAUUGGGUUUAAAGGGUGCGCAGGCGGUCUGUUAAGUCAGCGGUCAAAGCCCGGGGCUCAACCCCGGCCCGCCGUUGAAACUGGCAGUCUCGAGUUGGAGAGAAGUAUGCGGAAUGCGCGGUGUAGCGGUGAAAUGCAUAGAUAUCGCGCAGAACUCCGAUUGCGAAGGCAGCAUGCCGGCUCCACACUGACGCUGAGGCACGAAAGCGUGGGUAUCGAACAGGAUUAGAUACCCUGGUAGUCCACGCAGUAA